UACGUAGGGUGCAAGCGUUGUCCGGAUUCAUUGGGCGUAAAGGGCGCGUAGGCGGCCUGAUCAGUCGGGGGUGAAAGCCUGUGGCUCAACCACAGAAUGGCCUUCGAUACUGUCGGGCUUGAGACCGGAAGAGGUAAGUGGAACUGCGAGUGUAGAGGUGAAAUUCGUAGAUAUUCGCAAGAACACCAGUGGCGAAGGCGGCUUACUGGUCCGGAUCUGACGCUGAGGCGCGAAAGCGUGGGGAGCAAACAGG
Molecule: ribosomal RNA, 253 nt
Filed under: uncultured bacterium
Lineage: Bacteria
Description: partial 16S ribosomal RNA
Rfam family: Bacterial small subunit ribosomal RNA
Source: RNAcentral